UACGGAGGAUGCGAGCGUUAUCCGGAUUUAUUGGGUUUAAAGGGUGCGUAGGCGGACGCUUAAGUCAGCGGUAAAAUUGCGGGGCUCAACCUCGUCGAGCCGUUGAAACUGGGUGUCUUGAGUGGGCGAGAAGCACGCGGAAUGCGCGGUGUAGCGGUGAAAUGCAUAGAUAUCACGCAGAACUCCGAUUGCGAAGGCAGCGUGCCGGCGCCCAACUGACGCUGAAGCACGAAGGCGUGGGUAUCGAACAGG
RNAcentral lists this ribosomal RNA (252 nucleotides) under uncultured bacterium. RNAcentral's name for it is "partial 16S ribosomal RNA". It matches the Rfam family "Bacterial small subunit ribosomal RNA", at positions 524 to 776 of the family's 1533-position model. The record is from RNAcentral.